UGCCAGCAGCCGCGGUAAUACAGAGGGUGCAAGCGUUAAUCGGAUUUACUGGGCGUAAAGCGCGCGUAGGUGGCCAAUUAAGUCAAAUGUGAAAUCCCCGAGCUUAACUUGGGAAUUGCAUUCGAUACUGGUUGGCUAGAGUAUGGGAGAGGAUGGUAGAAUUCCAGGUGUAGCGGUGAAAUGCGUAGAGAUCUGGAGGAAUACCGAUGGCGAAGGCAGCCAUCUGGCCUAAUACUGACACUGAGGUGCGAAAGCAUGGGGAGCAAACAGGAUUAGAUACCCUGGUAGUCCAUGCCGUAAACGAUGUCUACUAGCCGUUGGGGCCUUUGAGGCUUUAGUGGCGCAGCUAACGCGAUAAGUAGACCGCCUGGGGAGUACGGUCGCAAGACUAAAACUCAAAUGAAUUGACGGGGGCCCGCACAAGCGGUGGAGCAUGUGGUUUAAUUCGAUGCAACGCGAAGAACCUUACCUGGUCUUGACAUAGUAAGAACUUUCCAGAGAUGGAUUGGUGCCUUCGGGAACUUACAUACAGGUGCUGCAUGGCUGUCGUCAGCUCGUGUCGUGGGAUGUUGGGUUAAGUCCCGCAACGAGCGCAACCCUUU
RNAcentral lists this ribosomal RNA (602 nucleotides) under uncultured bacterium. RNAcentral's name for it is "bacterial SSU rRNA". It matches the Rfam family "Bacterial small subunit ribosomal RNA", at positions 506 to 1107 of the family's 1533-position model. The record is from RNAcentral.